Molecule: unclassified non-coding RNA, 754 nt
Filed under: Hevea brasiliensis (rubber tree)
Lineage: Eukaryota; Viridiplantae; Streptophyta; Magnoliopsida; Malpighiales; Euphorbiaceae
Source: RNAcentral
AUUAGAUCUAGGUAGUUCAAGCCUUCAAGGACAAUCCAUAAAUUAAAUUAAAUAACAAAAAAAUGAAUUUAACUAAGAGUCCUGAUAGGUCCCUUAAGUAAGUUCAUAAGACACAUAAUACUGUACGCAAUAGCAAUAAGUGAUAUUGCUGGUUCACUUCUUCAUUGCUAAAAAAUAUCAACGCAAAAGUUUUUGUACUAUGCAAAUUUCCAUAUAAUUUCUAAGAACCCAAAAUUUUAAGUUUAACAUUAAGAAUUUAAGACUGAAAAAUUGAACAUAUUUACCUAAUAAAAGGAACUCUAUUUAGCAAUUUUGGACAUCCAAUUUCAAUUAAAGCCUUUCAUCAUCGGCAAGAAGAGUUGAAAUCCUAUAUUCAUAAAUUCCUAUGCAAUUUGAUUAAAACCCUAAUGACCAUUUCUGAUUUCAUCACCAAUUUUAUAAUUAAAAUUCAAAGUCAUAAAUCUCUUUCCAUCAAGUUAAUAUUAAUAAGUUAAAUUUGACAAUAAAUUAUUGAAAAUAAAAAUUAAAUAUAUUAAAACAUGCAUUGCAGAUGCAAAACAUAGAACAGCAAUUAGAUUUCCCACUAAAAUCCCUUUCAUCAACACCAUCUAAUCUUCUACUCCCCCAAAUUCACUUUGGAACACAAAGGUUUCAAUUAAAUGCAAGAUUAACUGCAUCCACUAAUCAUUUAGAUUCCUUCCAAAAAUACAUUACACUUUACUUGCUUAACAUUCAUUUUAAACCAAAUCCUAGA